Molecule: small nuclear RNA, 68 nt
Filed under: Theropithecus gelada (gelada)
Lineage: Eukaryota; Metazoa; Chordata; Mammalia; Primates; Cercopithecidae
Description: U7 small nuclear RNA (ENSTGEG00000024500.1)
Rfam family: U7 small nuclear RNA
About the family: Animal histone pre-mRNAs are spliced by a different mechanism than nuclear pre-mRNAs and self-splicing introns. This processing involves the U7 snRNP, which contains only one RNA species: U7.
Source: Rfam by way of RNAcentral
GAAUGUUACAGCUGUUUUAGAAAAUUUGUCUAGUAGACUUUCUGGGAGGUCUUUACCAGAAAGCCUCC